Molecule: long non-coding RNA, 2303 nt
Filed under: Gouania willdenowi (blunt-snouted clingfish)
Lineage: Eukaryota; Metazoa; Chordata; Actinopteri; Blenniiformes; Gobiesocidae
Description: lncRNA (ENSGWIG00000012009.1)
Source: RNAcentral
UAAAACAAGACAGGCCAACUGAGGAGUCUCUUGAUGAGUGUGGGUGUGGUUUUUAUGAUGGUCAGAAUGGCUGCUUGGUAUGACUACAGCCAUGUUAUUCCACAGAGUGCGCUGUUAGUUGUCUAGACUGCAGGACCUGACUGCUUAUUUCUUUAAUUCAUCUGUGUAAUCUGCAUUGCUUCAUUCAUGGAAACAUGUGUCGUGUGACACUCAGGAAUCUCAACCUCCUUCAAACUACACAUCUCAUAGACUAAAGCUGUUGGUAAAGCAUCCAACCCCUGCAAAACUAGUUGACUGCUUUAUUCUUAUAAAUGAACAACAAUCUCCAGGACUGCAAGACAAAGGCAGCUUCCACUUCAAACAAGAGAGAGAGAAAGCUUUAAAGCUUUUUUUUAUAAAUUGGAAUGAUUCCGUUACAGUUGGGCAUAACAUUCAUGCUGGAAAUGCAAUUUGUUUAAUGAUUAAAUGUUUUCUAAAGUUUUCACAAAGACUGGCCAUCAAAGACUUGAUGUUUGGGGUGUCGUCAUGGUUUAGAGACAGACUUUGUCCAUCAGAUUCUGAUUAAGCAAUCGUCCAAUUGUCCAGGUGACAUAAACUCUGUUUAAAAACAGUGCAAAGGUUUUACUGACACCAAGUGUACACUCCCAUGCACAAGCCGUUUUUAUUGGUUUUAGGCUACGUUCAGACAGCGGGUCUUAAUGCACAAUUCUGAUAUUUUAGAGGAAUCAGAUUUUUGAUGUGUGUGUGUGUGUGUGUGUGUGUGUGUGUGUGUGUGUGUGUGUGUGUGUGUGUGUGUGUGUGUGUGUGUGUGUGUGUGUGUGUGUGUGUGUGUAUUCAUUCAUGUCUUCUUUCAGUUUUGGUAUGAAGUGAAAGCAACCCUGAAGUGACUCGCAUGAGCAAACAGGGUUGGGGUCAAUUACAUUUUUCACUUACAAUUAUGUUUUCAAUUAUCCAUGUUCAAUUGCAGUACAGUUACGAUUGCAGUGACCGGAAUUUUUUUCAAUUCCAAUUAAAUUGUGAUUAUUUUCUAUCCCCUUGGCAUUCUGUUGUCUUUAAUCAAAAGUAAAAAUACACUAAAAAAAACAUUAUCCAUCAUCUAAUUUGUUUUUCAUCCCAAGUUUUGCGUUAAAUUUAGUUAAAAUUAACAGAUUUUAUAGAAUUUUCAUGCCAACUGCAAUUACAAAGUAAAUUGUCUAAAUUCAAUUACAAUUACAUUUUGUAAAAUUACAAUUAAAAUUACCCCAACCCUGUGAGCAAAAGUGGUCUUCAGGUGAUACGUGACCACUCAGCCAUACGCUCCGUUUACGGAAGUUAUUAUGGAUGCAUCUCGUCUUUAACGUAUGUGUGACACUAAUAAUGUGUAUUAUAUUAUAUAUUAGUAAUUCUAAAUUCACAAUUUCUUUCCACUUUGAACUCCAUCCUCCGCAAUGGCUGUUUUUAAUUACGUAAAGGUUGGAUUAAUGCAACCUGGCCGUUCAGACAGCACUCACAUUGCAUAAUAUCAGACAACACAUAUGGAAGUGACCUGGGUUGGAUUUGAACAAAACCAGAUUUGUGCCGUUCAAACUGCCUUUAACAGAUGGGAUACAGGUCUUAUAUGGGCAGAAAAAAAAAUCAGAUUUGGAUCACAUUAGCCCGCAGUCUGAACGUAGCGCGUGUGAGAAAUCAUCUACUGUCUUGCAACACUGGACAGGGGUGUAUUGGAUUGCAUUGCUUUGUCACGGUCAAAAAACGUGGGUUUAAUUAAAUUCUCUGCUUCGCCCAAAAUGUUUGUGUUUUAUCCCCAUGAUGGACUGCAAUGUUUGUUAGGUGCGUGUGUAUAUGGCAUGUGUUUAGUGUGUAAGGUGUCAAAGUCAUUGAGUAUUACUAAUGUGCCAUAAACUCUGGCAAAUGUUGGAUUGGAAAAUUCCCAAAGUGACAUGUGAUAUGUUGGAAUUGUUCUGCGUAUCGUGAUCUCUAAUGUUUUGUCUUCAAAUUCUGUGUUUUAGCUUGUCAUGACCCUAUUAUGUUUUCAUAUAUUGUUAUAAUGGACACCAUUCAAUAUUUGGAUAAGAAAAGACUGUAAAUUUAAUGAAUAUAAAUUAUUUUGUUGUAUUCUUCCUUAGUAAAAGAAGUGUUUUGGAUGUCUUUCUGUAACUGUAUGUUUGUGUAAAAUUCUUAUGUUUUCUAAGUGACGGAGGCUUAAACUCGCUGUGCUUUGCCCAUCUACAGGGACAAAUAUACUUUUUUAGAGAAUGGUCAGAAUGUAGUGACAACAACAGGUUUCGCAAGAGUGGCAGAAAUAAAUGUUAAUAGAAAUCACA